UCUUCGGGGAGUGCUAGUGCAUGUAUGUCGUCCAGGUUAUCUCAAGUCUUACCGUUUAAUUUUCCAAACUUUCUGUUCCCGCCACAGCGUGGACAGAAGAGGUUUCUGUAACUUCAAAAAAGGCGGAGUGAUAGUCAACGGUCCAACAGAUUUAAAGCUCCAGAGGAACAGGCCUCUCCGUACACACCCGUUCCAGGAGAAAAGCAUUGAAGGGGGCAAACCAUGUUUCUCCUUCCAAAAGUUUCUGCUUCUGCUGGAUUUCAUUUCUCUCUCCUGCUGAGAAGCAGCGGCUCACGGUGAUGCUUCCAGAAUAUUCUCAAGAGCUCAGCGCAGUAUGAUGGUUGCUCAAGGGUGUGCCCUACUAGCAAGAUAGAGAAAUGCAUUUCUGGCAAAUGGUGCGUUGCUGUUGUUGAUGGCUUCCAAGGUCCAAAAAAUGGGAAAAUUAAUCACCAACACCUACAUUGAAAAGCUUGUAAUCACAGGAUCAGACAUAUUUAAGAAGAAUGGCAGAAGCCGAGGCCUGGUGUCCACCUUGAAUUUCUGGAGCUCUUGGUUGCUGCUGGCUCCUUUGCAUUUCUCACCAGCAGCCUGACAAUAGGGAAUGGUUGCCAUUCUGAGGCUGAUUAGAAACUGGGACCUGAAAAGAGGUUUGUAAGGCCCUUUUCUGCUUUAAAGAAAUAUAUUCCUCAUUUUAAUAAGAGGGCAAAAGUAUAUGCUUCCUGUAUUAUUUGGCCCUUCAGGGAUUUCACUGGUAAUUUUACAUCCAUUUAAAGAGAUCUAGGUUGUCUCUGCUUUGCUCUAACACCCCUAAGUCUUAGUUUUUGAUUUAAAAAAAUAUGAUCCUGUAGAUAAAAGAACAGGCAUGCUCAUUUUCUGACUCCACCAAUUCAAAAUGUCUAAUUUUUUCACUGAACUUGUCAUUCGAAAGUGGUACUUAAAAAUCAUAGUUUCAAUACUACUGUCAAAAAAUCUGGGGCAUAAGCUGCAUUGUUUCAUGAUAAGGUCAUAUUCUGCAUUAUCAGAUUUAAAUUUUAACAUUCGAGGAUAAGACAAAAAAGAACACUGCUCUCAUUUACAUUUCAUGCUUGACCACCCAAGCUCUCUUCAUUUUCCUAUUAAUGAUUUAAAGGAAAAUCCUAUUCAAAGCCAACUAUUCGAAUUAACAUAUUUUGGCCUUGUUAACUACAAAAUGCUUCCAUAUUUACUUCAUAGCUUUAGAGGCAGAAUAUACCCAUAGGUGAUGUGAAUUUGCAUCAUGCUUUGAGAACAUUAAUAAACAAC
Molecule: long non-coding RNA, 1281 nt
Filed under: Canis lupus familiaris (dog)
Lineage: Eukaryota; Metazoa; Chordata; Mammalia; Carnivora; Canidae
Description: lncRNA (ENSCAFG00845016053.1)
Source: RNAcentral